CACGUAGGGGGCGAGCGUUGUCCGGAAUCAUUGGGCGUAAAGAGCUCGUAGGCGGCUCGGUAAGUCGGGUGUGAAACCCCCAGGCUCAACCUGGGGACGCCACCCGAUACUGCUGUGGCUAGAGUCCAGUAGGGGAGUGUGGAAUUCCCGGUGUAGCGGUGAAAUGCGCAGAUAUCAGGAGGAACACCGGUGGCGAAGGCGGGUCUCUGGGCCGAUACUGACGCUGAGGAGCGAAAGCGUGGGGAGCAAACGGG
This 254-nucleotide ribosomal RNA is filed under the name uncultured bacterium. Its description in RNAcentral is "partial 16S ribosomal RNA". It matches the Rfam family "Bacterial small subunit ribosomal RNA", at positions 524 to 776 of the family's 1533-position model. The record is from RNAcentral.